Long non-coding RNA from Perognathus longimembris pacificus (Pacific pocket mouse), 1630 nucleotides. RefSeq lists it as uncharacterized. The transcript has 2 exons. The record is from RefSeq and is a predicted model, not a curated record. NCBI's taxonomy places the organism in Eukaryota, Metazoa, Chordata, Mammalia, Rodentia, Heteromyidae.
UAAAUUAAGGUACAGAGAUUUAUUGAAUCCUAGCUUGGUCAAUAAGUGCUUCUCUAGUUAAAAAAAUAAUGUUUAUUCCCUUCCUUUUCUCCUUCCUGUUUCUUACUUCUGUGGGAAAUUUUCUCCAAUUCACUGAGGUAUGCUUUUUUGAAUAAUUUUGAGUUAUGUCUAAAUCAGCAUUUAAAUCCUUUAUUGCUCUUUUAGCCAGCUACACUUCCUUCAUUCAGAUAUACGACAACCUGUUUUAUUACUAACUGUAAGACACACUGAUUACUAAACUUGUCUUCCAGAACAAAUUUUUUUUGCUUUUUUUUUUACUAUAAUCUGCAUACACGAAACCACAUGAUUUAUGUCACAAUUGAGGAAAAACAUAUGAACACAUGUAUAACUGAAAACUAAGUGUUAUGAAACCAAACCCAUUGUUAAAGCUUAGUUUGGCAUGUUUUAUUUUCUCUUCUUAUUCUUCUGUUUUAGAAAAUAAUAGUCACAAGCCUCAAGGUUGAUUUGAUGAACUUUGAAGUUUUUUUUUAAAUGCUGCAUUUCUUGAUUUUAUUUGAAACUGAAUUUUUUUUUAGCAUCUUAUGGUAAGACUUUACAGGUGUCAUUUACACAAAUUAUAAGGUUCUGAUUCAAGUCCUUUUAAAAAAAAAUUCCAAAACUUAAACCCAUUUAUAACAAAAGAAUAGGAAAAACUAUAUUAUACCCAUUUUAAUGAAACAAGACAUAAAAGUCUGGCAUGGAGUUUUAGAUAAAUACAAGAAACUUCAAACUAGACACAAAGUAUUAACAUCAUUCUUAAAUACAUUUGCACUUUUGUGUUGUACUUCUCUGAUAUGUGAUACAAAGUUCCUAAGAGCUUUUACAUUUUAUUUUUUCAAAGGAAAACUGAAAACGUUCUUGCAAAUGAAAUUUGUUGGGUUAUUAUUAUUAUUUUUUUAAAUAACUGUUGGAAUCCAAAGGCUUACUGUGGUCAGAGGCAGAAGCCUAGUGGUCAGCACUCAUGAAAUGUCCUCUCCAGGGCCCCAUUCUGUAUACCUGGCAGUGUGAAGGAGAGAAAAUACAUCUUUAGCCCCUGUGUACUUUGCUUGGGAAGCUGUAUUCUCUCUCUGUUAACAGAGUCUGGCAAAGCUAUGUUAGUUACAGCUACUAUCCAGUUCCUAUGUGCCCUGCUUAGAAUAUUUCUAUAUCUUCUUGUCAUUAUUCCCUAAACACUGUAGUAUAAUAACUAUUAACAAGGUGUUUCCAUUUUAUGGGAGUGAUAUAGAGGUGUUAGCACACAUAGAUUAUAUGCAAGCAUGAUGCUGAUACUGUUUUAUAUAACAGACUUGACUACAUGAGGAUUUGGGCUUGGUAGGGGUGUUUGUCCUGGAACCAAUUCCCCACAGAUAAUGAGGCUUGACUGUAUGUGACUUUUGGACUUCUCAACAUUAUGUAAUGGUUCAGCAUUGGGUUUUAGAAUAAGAAUCGAUUUCUCAUCAAAUAGUCAAAAGCCAGAGGUUUUGUUUGAUUUCCUCUAGGUUACUGGGUAAAAGGUAAGUAGGGGAAAAGUAAUUAUCACAGACAAGGGCAAGAGGCUUCUUUAGUUCAUGAACUUGGACCCAUAGUCACUGGUCUUAACAAUAUGCCUUUU